Molecule: unclassified non-coding RNA, 335 nt
Filed under: Hevea brasiliensis (rubber tree)
Lineage: Eukaryota; Viridiplantae; Streptophyta; Magnoliopsida; Malpighiales; Euphorbiaceae
Source: RNAcentral
UUCCUGUGGAUAGAAAAUUGACAAAAUAUCCAGAAAUUGAGGACAAAAAACCCAACGUUUUGAUGUCUGGGUAUAAUGGAAUAGCACCAACAAAGUUGGCAUCAUCGUUUGCGAACUAUAAUGACUUAUCAGUACAUAUGGAUACAUCUGAUUCCAUACCCAGGUUGCAUACGGACUCAAGUAGCUCAGAGCAUAUGCAUUCACCUGAUGUCACGUGUGAGAAGGAGGUCCAGAGUGAACCCAAAUGGAAUGAGUUAGACAUUAAUGGCUUCGAUUUUGGUUUCAAUUACGUGGAUGGGUUUCAAGAUGAUCCUUUUGCUUCCCAAAUUCAGUUA